RNAcentral lists this ribosomal RNA (492 nucleotides) under uncultured bacterium. RNAcentral's name for it is "partial 16S ribosomal RNA". It matches the Rfam family "Bacterial small subunit ribosomal RNA", at positions 29 to 507 of the family's 1533-position model. The record is from RNAcentral.
AUUGAACGCUGGCGGCAUGCUUUACACAUGCAAGUCGAACGGUAACAGGCCUUCGGGUGCUGACGAGUGGCGAACGGGUGAGUAAUGCAUCGGAACGUACCCAGAGGUGGGGGAUAACGCAGCGAAAGCUGUGCUAAUACCGCAUGUGAUCUGAGGAUGAAAGCGGGGGACCGAGCAGCAAUGUUUGGCCUCGCGCCUCUGGAGCGGCCGAUGUCGGAUUAGCUAGUUGGUGGGGUAAAGGCCUACCAAGGCGACGAUCCGUAGCUGGUCUGAGAGGACGACCAGCCACACUGGGACUGAGACACGGCCCAGACUCCUACGGGAGGCAGCAGUGGGGAAUUUUGGACAAUGGGCGCAAGCCUGAUCCAGCAAUGCCGCGUGCGGGAAGAAGGCCUUCGGGUUGUAAACCGCUUUUGGCAGGAACGAAACGGUGUCCGCUAAUACCGGGCGCUAAUGACGGUACCUGCAGAAUAAGCACCGGCUAACUACGUG